This 253-nucleotide ribosomal RNA is filed under the name uncultured bacterium. RNAcentral describes it as "partial 16S ribosomal RNA". It matches the Rfam family "Bacterial small subunit ribosomal RNA", at positions 524 to 776 of the family's 1533-position model. The record is from RNAcentral.
UACAGAGGGGGCAAGCGUUAUUCGGAAUUAUUGGGCGUAAAGGGCGCGUAGGCGGCUUUGCAAGUGACGGGUGAAAUCCCUCGGCUUAACCGAGGAACUGCCUGUCAGACUGCAUGGCUUGAGACCGGGAGAGGUGAGUGGAAUUCCCAGUGUAGCGGUGAAAUGCGCAGAUAUCAGGAAGAACACCCGUGGCGAAAGCGGCUCUCUGGAACGGUACUGACGCUGAGACGCGAAAGCGUGGGGAGCGAACAGG